ACCUACUUUGUUGACCGCAGUACCUCUUCCAUUCUCUUGCAGGCAGGCAGGCAAGCAGGCAACUCACACAGGUUUUUUUUUUAAGUACCUACUUUGGUUACCUGCAGUACCUCUUCCACUCUCUUGCAGGCAGGCAGGCAAUUCACACAGGUCUUUAUUUUUUUUGUACAGAUGCCCAGCUAUGCCAGUGCAUCAAAAGCCAGAGAACCAGAGAUGGCAAGCUGUCUACUAGGGGGACCAGGACAGGGUCUGGUGGCAGAAAAUUACCCCAGAGGCAGCAGUGGAUCUUGGACAAAUGGUCCUUCAUCAACUCACUUAUUGUGAGAGUGGAGAGUAGAAAGAGCACCAAGAAGUUUAACAUGAGUAAGCCACUGCCCAGUAUGUCCUGUGAAGAGGUGGUUGAUCCACUUGAGGGAACCUCUGCACCAACCCCCACCGCCAGUCAGCAGCUCAGCAGGAGGAGGAGCAUGGCACGUGCCAGCCUCACUGCCGCCUCCACCCCAAAUACAAUUGAUGUAGAUGACAGAGGCAGAUCGGCAUGAGCUGAUCAAGACGCUCAUGCAACAGGCAAACGACGGCAGGUAUUGCAGACGGGAUAUUUCCUGCACCCAGACACCACAUGAGGAAUGUGUUGACGGCUUACAUGCAUCUUUAAGGCCUUUGAUGCUCCAUAUACCGGCAGACACGUGGCUCAAUUUCUCCAUUGCUGUUCUGGAGCUGAUAAAAGACUUCUCCAAGCAAGUUUAUGUCAUUUGAUUUUUGUGUCAUUUUGGCAACGUUUGACUUCAAUAUUUGGCCUUAAAAUGUAUGUUUUUAAAUAAAAUAAUCACAAUGUUUGUUGCAGACUCAGCAGCCGAUGGUACACAUGGGACAACACCAGAUGGUACCACAAUAGAUGUCUCUGAUGGCACAACCACAUCUGCAGGCUCACCAGAUACAGUCUGUGGUGGCACGACCAUACACAGGUACUUCCUGAGAAGAUACUGUUGAUUCGGUAUGUCAAAGAGGAUUCUCUUGAACAUCUACAGGUGUACAGUAGAGAGCA
Molecule: long non-coding RNA, 1045 nt
Organism: Amblyraja radiata (thorny skate)
Lineage: Eukaryota; Metazoa; Chordata; Chondrichthyes; Rajiformes; Rajidae
Exons: 4
Source: RefSeq, a predicted model, not a curated record